AUUGAACGCUGGCGGCAUGCCUUACACAUGCAAGUCGAACGGCAGCACGGGGCAACCUGGUGGCGAGUGGCGAACGGGUGAGUAAUGCAUCGGAACGUGCCAUUGAGUGGGGGAUAACGUAGCGAAAGUUGCGCUAAUACCGCAUAUUCUGUGAGCAGGAAAGCAGGGGACCGCAAGGCCUUGCGCUCUUUGAGCGGCCGAUGUCAGAUUAGCUAGUUGGUGAGGUAACGGCUUACCAAGGCGACGAUCUGUAGCGGGUCUGAGAGGAUGAUCCGCCACACUGGAACUGAGACACGGUCCAGACUCCUACGGGAGGCAGCAGUGGGGAAUUUUGGACAAUGGGCGCAAGCCUGAUCCAGCCAUGCCGCGUGAGUGAAGAAGGCCUCGGUUGUAAGC
This 396-nucleotide ribosomal RNA is filed under the name uncultured bacterium. RNAcentral's name for it is "bacterial SSU rRNA". It matches the Rfam family "Bacterial small subunit ribosomal RNA", at positions 30 to 431 of the family's 1533-position model. The record is from RNAcentral.